RNAcentral lists this ribosomal RNA (532 nucleotides) under uncultured bacterium. RNAcentral's name for it is "bacterial SSU rRNA". It matches the Rfam family "Bacterial small subunit ribosomal RNA", at positions 975 to 1509 of the family's 1533-position model. The record is from RNAcentral.
UUGGCCUUGACAUACUAAGAACUUUCCAGAGAUGGAUUGGUGCCUUCGGGAACUUAGAUACAGGUGCUGCAUGGCUGUCGUCAGCUCGUGUCGUGAGAUGUUGGGUUAAGUCCGCAACGAGCGCAACCUUUUCCUAUUUGCCAGCGGGUAAUGCCGGGAACUUUAAGGAUACUGCCAGUGACAAACUGGAGGAAGGCGGGGACGACGUCAAGUCAUCAUGGCCCUUACGGCCAGGGCUACACACGUGCUACAAUGGUCGGUACAAAGGGUUGCUACCUCGCGAGAGGAUGCUAAUCUCAAAAAGCCGAUCGUAGUCCGGAUCGCAGUCUGCAACUCGACUGCGUGAAGUCGGAAUCGCUAGUAAUCGCGGAUCAGAAUGCCGCGGUGAAUACGUUCCCGGGCCUUGUACACACCGCCCGUCACACCAUGGGAGUUUGUUGCACCAGAAGUAGGUAGUCUAACCGCAAGGAGGACGCUUACCACGGUGUGGCCGAUGACUGGGGUGAAGUCGUAACAAGGUAGGCGUAGAUGA